Bos taurus (domestic cattle) is the source of this 1003-nucleotide long non-coding RNA. NCBI's taxonomy places the organism in Eukaryota, Metazoa, Chordata, Mammalia, Artiodactyla, Bovidae. The record is from Ensembl.
CACAGAGCAGCACAGAAAGGCCGAGUGACCUGCCCACAUUUCACACCCAGGGAUGAAGCCUGGGAUUGGUCCCCCCAUUCCUGCUGCUUCCAGAGCUGUGCUGUGAAGCCCAUCAGGUCCCUGGUCAUCCCCACGUUCACAUCUAGGUGUCCUUCCUCGGCCAGCUGCCUCCCUCCUACCCACCAAGAUGGGAAUGGGCGGGCCGGGAGGAGGCUGAGGCCGGGGCCCAAGCCCCCUGGAGAGGCACUCCUAGGAUGCUCAUCACAAGUGUGGCCCAGGUGAUGCUUCCUACAGCCCCCCAGACCACCUCUAGGCCUGGCAAAGAUACCACCGUCCUGAUAGAUCUGGCUUGGCACUGCACCUAACUGAUCAGAGGCAGCAGGAAGAAUUCCCCUUCAUCUCCACUGGAGGGCCUUCCGUGUUCUCAGGACAAACCAUCCCCAUCAAGCUGUGAUCUCACCUCAUUAGUGGGACCUGAUGGACUCCAGCCCCGCUGACUCAGAGCCCUCCUAGCAGACAGGUGGGAGAGGCUGUGAUUCAGCCUGGGGUUCAUCGCCCUCAUUUUUCUGUCACAGUCCAGCAGGGUCUGCCUUGAUCAUCGAGAUACCUCGGAAACAUGUUACAGCCCCUGCAAGAAUGUUGGUCAGGGCCUACCAUCUUCCCUGUUAUCCACCUUGUCUAACCUAAGUUUCUCUCAUUGUACAAGAGCAGAAAUACAAUUUAAGGACUCCAGUGUUUCACGACAAUGAACCACUGUUCUGCCUUUGACUGUCAAUUAAGCUCUUUAUUGGAAAGAUGGGGAAAGGGAGGCCCAGAGAGGCAGUGACUUGUCCAAAAUCUGAGCCAGACAGUUAAUGAGAAACUGGAGUAUGGACCAUCCACACUAGGAAAAUAGUGCUUCCCUAAUAAAUGAAUGGAUAUUCCCUCCAGGCCUACCUCUGCUCUAGGUUUCAGGAAAAUACCGGUGAGGUACUUGUCUCAAGGGUGAUGGGUGACCUUCUAG